AUGAGGCCACGACUAGGCACAGACAUCCCCCGCCCCGAACUCUCUUCCCCAAACUACCCAUCCCAUCUCUCGCGAGAAAAAUUCCCUACCGCCGUCCAGAUCGGAGAUCACCUCGGCCUCCUCCACCACGCGCCCGCUUCCUCCCAUGGUCGUGUCCUCCCGACCCACCCUCCUCUUCGCUCACCACGCCGGCGCAGGCGGUCACGCGGGCGUCCAUUGAUCUGCAACUCUCACCGCCUUCAUAACGCUCAAGCGCCGCCCACGGAUAGACGAUGGCUUCAGCCGUGUCAACGAGGUCGAGGAGUCCCUUGA
RNAcentral lists this ribosomal RNA (312 nucleotides) under Triticum aestivum (bread wheat). Its description in RNAcentral is "partial small subunit ribosomal RNA". Lineage: Eukaryota; Viridiplantae; Streptophyta; Magnoliopsida; Poales; Poaceae. The record is from RNAcentral.